This 535-nucleotide ribosomal RNA is filed under the name uncultured bacterium. RNAcentral describes it as "bacterial SSU rRNA". It matches the Rfam family "Bacterial small subunit ribosomal RNA", at positions 777 to 1319 of the family's 1533-position model. The record is from RNAcentral.
AAUAGAUACCCCGGUAGUCCACGCCGUAAACGAUGGAUACUAGCUGUUGGGCGCAAGUUCAGUGGCUAAGCGAAAGUGAUAAAUAUCCCACCUGGGGAGUACGUUCGCAAGAAUGAAACUCAAAGGAAUUGACGGGGGCCCGCACAAGCGGUGGAGCAUGUGGUUUAAUUCGAUGAUACGCGAGGAACCUUACCAAGGCUUAAAUGUAGAUUGACCGGUUUGGAAACAGAUCUUUCGCAAGACAAUUUACAAGGUGCUGCAUGGUUGUCGUCAGCUCGUGCCGUGAGGUGUCAGGUUAAGUCCUAUAACGAGCGCAACCCCUGUUGUUAGUUGCCAGCGAGUCAAGUCGGGAACUCUAACAAGACUGCCAGUGCAAACUGUGAGGAAGGUGGGGAUGACGUCAAAUCAUCACGGCCCUUACGCCUUGGGCUACACACGUGCUACAAUGGCCGGUACAGAGAGCAGCCACUGGGUGACCGAGGAGCGAAUCUAUAAAACCGGUCACAGUUCGGAUCGGAGUCUGCAACUCGACUCC